This 22-nucleotide microRNA is filed under the name Sarcophilus harrisii (Tasmanian devil). RNAcentral describes it as "Sha-Mir-7262-P5_3p (mature (guide))". The record is from RNAcentral. Lineage: Eukaryota; Metazoa; Chordata; Mammalia; Dasyuromorphia; Dasyuridae.
AAAAUGCACUAAGACUUUUAGG